Non-coding RNA from Phalacrocorax carbo (great cormorant), 2080 nucleotides. NCBI's taxonomy places the organism in Eukaryota, Metazoa, Chordata, Aves, Suliformes, Phalacrocoracidae. The record is from RefSeq and is a predicted model, not a curated record.
AUUUGGCCCCAGCGUAGGUGUUCCGAUGCCUUGCUGUUAUCUUGCACAGAAAUGCUCGCACGUGGUGAAUGAACUCUGGGCAAACGCUACAUAGUUCUGCUGAGAUGCCGGAAUUGCCACCAGCAUCUUUCCCCAGUCACUGUUUUCACCAAUGUGUUAAUACAAUACACCUGCCACAUAUUGUAUGAUACCUCCUGCUGCUGAAAAGAGAACAAAGAAUGUAGUACUUGGUGCAAUAAUCUAAAUCAAACAUUCCCUGGGUAUUACUCUAUGAGGUGGCAAAAGUGUAAAUGGCCACGGAGUGCUCUAGUAGCACGCACCGUGCCAUCAUCAGGAAAACACGCAGCGGUCAAACCCAGGACAUUCGUGGAGGCUCCACUACUGGAAAUACUGCUACAAGCACUGAUGUUGUGUCUGUGACACCGUUCCAUCUCUCCAGUGAAAACCGGGCAAAAUUAAACUCCGUUCACAUAUCCUGAAAGAAGAAAGUUUUUAUAGUGGAAACAUGACAGCAUGGAAGUUCAGCCAGCUGUGAUUCUAUAGAUACAGUCGCCUCCAACUGCAAAAGAUCUACUCCUUUCACUCAUCAGCCUGGUUUGGGGAUGUGAGUUUUGGGAUGGUUAGCUAUUGGAGAAGAACUGAACUAACUGAACACUGGUACAUUUAGGUCAAUACUAAGUGAGACCGUUUUCUGGUGUUCUACAACAUUAAUGUAUUCUUAACAUAUGGAACAAUUUUGGCUGAUUAGCACGUGGGGCUUACUCUAUUUUUCUCCCUCCCUCCCUCUCUCCCUCCCUCCCUCUCUUCCUCUUUCUUCCCCCACCCCCCUCUAAUAAGCUCCUUUUCUGCCUUGAAAAAAUAAUGAUGUUUCACUAAUUUUAUUAGUUCUUGGGCAUUCAGUCCCUGUUUCUUCCAUUACGGGAGUAAGACGUUUGAAGAUAAAAUAGAUGCUUGGAAGUUCACACAUGACUGAUCUAAGUGUGCUUCAACUGAAGUACAGAGAUUACAAAGCAACUUUAAGGCAGGACCUGAUCUCUAAAAAAAUUAGGUUACCAAACAAACCCACCCCAAAACCCAGAAAAAGGAAAAAAGCAUGAUUUAGAUCAAUUAGCACUUCUAGUGAAAGAUCCCACCCUUCCCUUUGCUAGAAGAGAAUUUUCAUAAGCAAUUCAUUCUCCAGUCAGCUGGAGCCUUUCUCACUUGCAUACAGUCUUGAGAUUUAUUUGAGGUAGAUUGAUUAUUUCAAAUUAUUAUUAAAUGCUAACAGUAUUACUUAAUAACAGAGUGUUAAAAAAACCCAUUACAUUAACACAUCUCGUUUUCCUUUGCUAUAUAAUAUAUUUUAACUAGAGCUAGUUGGGAAAUUUCAAUAUAAAUUUCCUUUCUUUUUUUCUGAUUAAGUGUCAGCCUGAACAUUGAAUCUUUAUAACUAUGUGAAUUGAAUAAAUAGUUUUCAAUCUAAAGAUGCACCCAGUGUAAUUACACAUUUUAAAGACCUUUUUUUCAUGGCAAUCUGCAGUAGUUCUAAAAAUAUCUGUAACAUAUUAUUUGUCAUAACUUCCCAGACUGACAUGUCAGCAUUGGCACUGCCUGUCAAACUUACAUCAACGCGUUCAUGUCACAUGGCAUGAAGUGACAUAACUCAAAGUGACGGAAUGAGGUUUAUUGGAAAUUUCUGUUAAAUAAAGCACAAACUAUUUACAUAAUUCACCCUUUUAAAGAACAUCAAAUGUUAGAAGGGAGAAGUAGUUUUCAGCUUGGAAGUGCAGUGGCUAAGCAGCUACUACACGCCUACUUCGAUUUGAGAGUUACGAGUUUUAAAGUGUGCUCUUUAUCACUUUUCUGUGCAAGCUUAUUUGAUAUUUUUCAAACUAUUUGCUAGGUGAUGAAACUAGACAGAGCAGAAAAAUGCCAUUAGCGGUGAUAACUUCAGACAGAAGCCAGGUUGCCAAAUCACGGCUGCAAACCAGCCCAGCAGAGCCAGGCACGGGGCCACCUCCAAGGGCGUGUGGCCAGGCUCUGCCUUCCCCACUCUCACCGCGGAUGCAGCUCCGGGCCAGGGGUUCGCUGCACAGAGAUC